Molecule: long non-coding RNA, 167 nt
Organism: Rhodamnia argentea
Lineage: Eukaryota; Viridiplantae; Streptophyta; Magnoliopsida; Myrtales; Myrtaceae
Exons: 3
Source: RefSeq, a predicted model, not a curated record
ACUUUUUUGAGAGGAAAUUCCAGAUCUCAUGCUUCAGAAGUAACAAAAUACACAAUACUAUUUCGAGAGGAAAUUCUCAGCAUGCCAACCCAUCAACAAGAAUACCAACACAUUUGGUUCCUUGCAUGGGUUUAAAAAGUAGAACUAACUGGAAGUGGUAUGCUGUU